GCAGCAGGCACGCAAAUUACCCACUCCCGGCACGGAGAGGUAGUGACAAAAAAUAACGAUACGGGACUCUUUUGAGGCCCCGUAAUCGGAAUGAGUACACUUUAAAUCCUUUAACAAGGAUCGAUUGGAGGGCAAGUCUGGUGCCAGCAGCCGCGGUAAUUCCAGCUCCAAUAGCGUAUAUUAAAGUUGUUGCAGUUAAAAAGCUCGUAGUUGGUUUUGCGUUCAACGCUGUCGGUUCGCCGCCUGACGGUGAAACUGGCAUGUCGUUGUACGUCCUGCCGGUGGUAAAUUAUUGCCUGGUGUGUGACAAAAAAACUUUUAGUUAUUUUGUUGCUACCUUUGUUGCAAUUGUUUACCGAUAUCCUACCCGGUGCUCUUAAACGAGUGUCGCGGUAGGCCGGCAAAUUUACUUUGAACAAAUUAGAGUGCUUAAAGCAGGCUAAAAAUAUAGCCUGAAUAGUGGUGCAUGGAAUAAUAGAAUAGGACCUCGGUUCUAUUUUGUUGGUUUUUGGAACACAAGGUAAUGAUUAAUGUAGACAAUCGGGGGCAUUCGUAUUGCGGCGUUAGAGGUGAAAUUCUUGGAUCGUCGCAAGACGCACAAAAGCGAAAGCAAUUGCCAAGUAUGUCUUAAUUGAUCAAGAACGAAAGUUAGAGGCCCGAAGGCGAUCAGAUACCGCCCUAGUUCUAACCAUAAACGAUGCCAGCCAGCGAUCCGACGUGUUCAUAUUAUGACACGUGCGGGCAGCUUUUACCCGGGAAACCAAAGCUGUUGGGUUCCGGGGGAAGUAUGGUUGCAAAGCUGAAACUUAAAGGAAUUGACGGAAGGGCACCACCAGGAGUGGAGCCUGCGGCUUAAUUUGACUCAACACGGGAAACCUCACCGGGUCAGGACAUUGUAAGGAUUGACAGAUUGAUAGCUCUUUCUUGAUUCAGUGGGUAGUGGUGCAUGGCCGUUC
RNAcentral lists this ribosomal RNA (956 nucleotides) under Phymata pacifica. RNAcentral's name for it is "SSU rRNA". It matches the Rfam family "Eukaryotic small subunit ribosomal RNA", at positions 425 to 1293 of the family's 1831-position model. The record is from RNAcentral. Lineage: Eukaryota; Metazoa; Arthropoda; Insecta; Hemiptera; Phymatidae.